Molecule: ribosomal RNA, 499 nt
Filed under: uncultured Pseudomonas sp.
Lineage: Bacteria; Pseudomonadati; Pseudomonadota; Gammaproteobacteria; Pseudomonadales; Pseudomonadaceae
Description: partial 16S ribosomal RNA
Rfam family: Bacterial small subunit ribosomal RNA
Source: RNAcentral
GAGUUUGAUCCUGGYUCMGAUUGAACGCUGGCGGCRGGCCUARCAYAUGCAAGUCGAGCGGAUGAAKAGAGCUUGCUCUCUGAUUCARCGGCGGACGGKUGAGUAAUGCCUAGGAAUCUGCCUGAUAGKGGGGGACAACGUUUCGAAAGGAACGCUAAUACCGCAUACGUCCUACGGGAGAAAGCAGGGGACCUUCGGGCCUUGCGCUAUCMGAUGAGCCUAGGUCGGAUUAGCUAGUUGGUGAGGUAACGGCUCWCCAAGGCGACGAUCCGURACUGGUCUGAGAGGAWGAUCAGUCWCACUGGAACUGAGACRCKGUCCASACUCCUACGGGAGGCAGCWGUGGGGAAUUUUGCGCAAUGGGGGAAACCCUGACGCAGCAACGCCGCGUGAGUGAUGAAGGCCUUCGGGUCGUAAAGCUCUGUCAGAGGGAAAGAAAUGUGGGWGGCUAAUAUCCAUUCCACUUGACGGUMCCCUCAAAGGAAGYACCGGCUAACUC